CAGAGUGUCAAAACUCCCAAACCCAUGUGAACAUACCUGUUGCCUCGGCGGGGCCCCAUGCUCCCCCCCAGUGCCGAUGCUUUUUAAUAAAAGCAAAGGCGGGGGGCGGGGUCCUGCCAAUGGCCCGCAAAACUCUGUUUUAUAGUGGACUUCUGAAUUUUUAUAACUUAAAAAGUUA
Molecule: unclassified non-coding RNA, 178 nt
Filed under: uncultured Ascomycota
Lineage: Eukaryota; Fungi; Ascomycota
Description: sequence contains ITS1
Source: RNAcentral